RNAcentral lists this ribosomal RNA (1416 nucleotides) under uncultured bacterium. RNAcentral's name for it is "bacterial SSU rRNA". The stretch from base 691 to 1416 matches the Rfam family "Bacterial small subunit ribosomal RNA", at positions 1 to 749 of the family's 1533-position model. The record is from RNAcentral.
GGACGAACGCUGGCGGUAUGCUUAACACAUGCAAGUCGAACGAAAAGGAAGAGCUUGCUCUUCCUGAAAGUGGCGAACGGGUGAGUAACGCGUGGGUAACCUACCCUUUGGAAAGGAAUAGCCUCGGGAAACUGGGAGUAAUGCCUUAUAAGAUACGCUUGUCGCAUGGCAUUUGUACUAAACGCUCCGGCGCCAUAGGAUGGACCCGCGUCCCAUUAGCUAGUUGGUGAGAUAACAGCUCACCAAGGCCACGAUGGGUAACCGGUCUGAGAGGGCGAACGGUCACACUGGAACUGAGACACGGUCCAGACUCCUACGGGAGGCAGCAGUGGGGAAUAUUGCGCAAUGGGGGCAACCCUGACGCAGCAAUACCGCGUGAGUGAAGAAGGUUUUCGGAUCGUAAAGCUCUGUUAUUGGGGAAGAAAAAAAGACGGUACCCAAGAAGAAAGUUCCGGCUAACUACGUGCCAGCAGCCGCGGUAAUACGUAGGGAACAAGCGUUGUCCGGAUUUACUGGGCGUAAAGGGCACGCAGGCGGUUUUUUAAGUCAGAUGUGAAAGGCCACAGCUCAACUGUGGACAUGCAUUUGAAACUGAAAGACUUGAGUAUUGGAGAGGCAAGUGGAAUUCCUAGUGUAGCGGUGAAAUGCGUAGAUAUUAGGAGGAACACCGGUGGCGAAGGCGGCUUGCUGGACAAAUACUGACGCUGAGGACGAACGCUGGCGGUAUGCUUAACACAUGCAAGUCGAACGAAAAGGAAGAGCUUGCUCUUCCUGAAAGUGGCGAACGGGUGAGUAACGCGUGGGUAACCUACCCUUUGGAAAGGAAUAGCCUCGGGAAACUGGGAGUAAUGCCUUAUAAGAUACGCUUGUCGCAUGGCAUUUGUACUAAACGCUCCGGCGCCAUAGGAUGGACCCGCGUCCCAUUAGCUAGUUGGUGAGAUAACAGCUCACCAAGGCCACGAUGGGUAACCGGUCUGAGAGGGCGAACGGUCACACUGGAACUGAGACACGGUCCAGACUCCUACGGGAGGCAGCAGUGGGGAAUAUUGCGCAAUGGGGGCAACCCUGACGCAGCAAUACCGCGUGAGUGAAGAAGGUUUUCGGAUCGUAAAGCUCUGUUAUUGGGGAAGAAAAAAAGACGGUACCCAAGAAGAAAGUUCCGGCUAACUACGUGCCAGCAGCCGCGGUAAUACGUAGGGAACAAGCGUUGUCCGGAUUUACUGGGCGUAAAGGGCACGCAGGCGGUUUUUUAAGUCAGAUGUGAAAGGCCACAGCUCAACUGUGGACAUGCAUUUGAAACUGAAAGACUUGAGUAUUGGAGAGGCAAGUGGAAUUCCUAGUGUAGCGGUGAAAUGCGUAGAUAUUAGGAGGAACACCGGUGGCGAAGGCGGCUUGCUGGACAAAUACUGACGCUGA